Molecule: ribosomal RNA, 512 nt
Filed under: uncultured bacterium
Lineage: Bacteria
Description: partial 16S ribosomal RNA
Rfam family: Bacterial small subunit ribosomal RNA
Source: RNAcentral
GACGAACGCUGGCGGCGUGCCUAAUACAUGCAAGUCGAGCGGACAGAAGGGAGCUUGCUCCCGGAAGUCAGCGGCGGACGGGUGAGUAACACGUGGGCAACCUGCCUGUAAGACUGGGAUAACUUCGGGAAACCGGAGCUAAUACCGGAUAGGUUCUUCCUCCGCAUGGGGGAAGAUGGAAAGACGGUUUCGGCUGUCACUUACCGCUGGGCCCGCGGCGCAUUAGCUAGUUGGUGGGGUAAUGGCCCACCAAGGCGACGAUGCGUAGCCGACCUGAGAGGGUGAUCGGCCACACUGGGACUGAGACACGGCCCAGACUCCUACGGGAGGCAGCAGUAGGGAAUCUUCCGCAAUGGACGAAAGUCUGACGGAGCAACGCCGCGUGAGCGAAGAAGGCCUUCGGGUCGUAAAGCUCUGUUGUUAGGGAAGAACAAGUGCCAGAGUAACUGCUGGCACCUUGACGGUACCUGACCAGAAAGCCACGGCUAACUACGUGCCAGCAGCCGCCGUAA